GACGAACGCUGGCGGCGUGCCUAAUACAUGCAAGUUGAGCGCUGAAGGUUGGUACUUGUACCAACUGGAUGAGCAGCGAACGGGUGAGUAACGCGUGGGGAAUCUGCCUUUGAGCGGGGGACAACAUUUGGAAACGAAUGCUAAUACCGCAUAAAAACUUUAAACACAAGUUUUAAGUUUGAAAGAUGCAAUUGCAUCACUCAAAGAUGAUCCCGCGUUGUAUUAGCUAGUUGGUGAGGUAAAGGCUCACCAAGGCGAUGAUACAUAGCCGACCUGAGAGGGGGAGCGGCCACAUUGGGACUGAGACACGGCCCAAACUCCUACGGGAGGCAGCAGUAGGGAAUCUUCGGCAAUGGACGAAAGUCUGACCGAGCAACGCCGCGUGAGUGAAGAAGGUUUUCGGAUCGUAAAACUCUGUUGGUAGAGAAGAACGUUGGUGAGAGUGGAAAGCUCAUCAAGUGACGGUAACUACCCAGAAAGGGACGGCUAACUACGUG
RNAcentral lists this ribosomal RNA (497 nucleotides) under uncultured bacterium. RNAcentral describes it as "partial 16S ribosomal RNA". It matches the Rfam family "Bacterial small subunit ribosomal RNA", at positions 28 to 507 of the family's 1533-position model. The record is from RNAcentral.